AAGUCGUAACAAGGUUUCCGUAGGUGAACCUGCGGAAGGAUCAUUAACACGUAUACACGUUUUAAUUAACAAACUUAUCAACAAUUCUACGAACUUGAUCUCCCUGCUGAAUAUAACUGCGGUGUCGUACCCCUGUCGUGGUGGGUCCCAGUAAACAUGUAGUUGUUCGAGACUUGUGUUAAGCUGAAGGCUGGCAGGCAUCGACUAUCACACUUCGACUGUGAGCCAAAACACAUUCAGCAGGCUUACUGACUCUAUUCUCGCGUGGAGUUACUCCAAUCCUUACCAUCAUAAGGCCGAGUUUAGAACCCCAUACCAAUUUCACCCUAUUUUACCUAUUUGACUAAUUAAUUGAUUCUUAGGAGAAAUCCUUUGAAUUACUAAGAUUUAUCUUAACUAAGCACAACUCUUAGCAAUGGAUAUCUUGGUUCUC
RNAcentral lists this unclassified non-coding RNA (433 nucleotides) under fungal sp. Its description in RNAcentral is "partial internal transcribed spacer region". The stretch from base 1 to 46 matches the Rfam family "Eukaryotic small subunit ribosomal RNA", at positions 1786 to 1831 of the family's 1831-position model. Lineage: Eukaryota; Fungi. The record is from RNAcentral.